RNAcentral lists this ribosomal RNA (457 nucleotides) under uncultured bacterium. Its description in RNAcentral is "partial 16S ribosomal RNA". It matches the Rfam family "Bacterial small subunit ribosomal RNA", at positions 338 to 795 of the family's 1533-position model. The record is from RNAcentral.
CCUACGGGUGGCAGCAGUGGGGAAUAUUGCACAAUGGGGGAAACCCUGAUGCAGCGACGCCGCGUGAGUGAAGAAGCGUUUCGGCGCGUAAAGCUCUGUCAGCGGGGAAGAAACACGGUUCGCGAGAGCCGCGGACGGUACCCGACCAAGAAGCCCCGGCUAACUACGUGCCAGCAGCCGCGGUAAUACGUAGGGGGCAAGCGUUAUCCGGAUUUAUUGGGUUUAAAGGGUGCGCAGGCGGGCUGUUAAGCCGGCGGUAAAAAUUCAGGGCUCAACCCUGUCGAGCCGUCGGAACUGGCAGCCUUGAGUGGGCGAGAAGUAUGCGGAAUGCGUGGUGUAGCGGUGAAAUGCAUAGAUAUCACGCAGAACGCCGAUUGCGAAGGCAGCAUACCGGCGCCCGACUGACGCUGAGGCACGAAAGCGUGGGGAUCGAACAGGAUUAGAUACCCGGGUAGUC